AUUGAACGCUGGCGGCAUGCUUUACACAUGCAAGUCGGACGGCAGCGGGGUAGUGCUUGCACUACUGCCGGCGAGUGGCGAACGGGUGAGUAAUAUAUUGGAACGUACCGAGUAAUGGGGGAUAACCAAUCGAAAGAUUGGCUAAUACCGCAUACGCUCUGAGGAGGAAAGCAGGGGACCUUCGGGCCUUGCGUUAUUCGAGCGGCCAAUAUCUGAUUAGCUAGUUGGUGGGGUAAGGGCCUACCAAGGCGACGAUCAGUAGCGGGUCUGAGAGGAUGAUCCGCCACACUGGGACUGAGACACGGCCCAGACUCCUACGGGAGGCAGCAGUGGGGAAUUUUGGACAAUGGGCGCAAGCCUGAUCCAGCCAUGCCGCGUGUCUGAAGAAGGCCUUCGGGUUGUAAAGGACUUUUGUUAGGGAAGAAAAAGGAGCGGUUAAUACCCGUUUCUGCUGACGGUACCUAAAGAAUAAGCACCGGCUAACUACGUGCCAGCAGCCGCGGUAAUACGUAGGGUGCGAGCGUUAAUCGGAAUUACUGGGCGUAAAGCGAGCGCAGACGGUUACUUAAGCAGGAUGUGAAAUCCCCGGGCUCAACCUGGGAACUGCGUUCUGAACUGGGGUAGCUAGAGUAUGUCAGAGGGGGGUAGAAUUCCACGUGUAGCAGUGAAAUGCGUAGAGAUGUGGAGGAAUACCCGAUGGCGAAGCAGCCCCCCUGGGA
Molecule: ribosomal RNA, 719 nt
Filed under: uncultured Neisseriaceae bacterium
Lineage: Bacteria; Pseudomonadati; Pseudomonadota; Betaproteobacteria; Neisseriales; Neisseriaceae
Description: bacterial SSU rRNA
Rfam family: Bacterial small subunit ribosomal RNA
Source: RNAcentral